AGAGUUUGAUCCUGGCUCAGGAUGAACGCUGGCGGCGUGCCUAAUACAUGCAAGUCGAGCGAACAGAUAAGGAGCUUGCUCCUUUGACGUUAGCGGCGGACGGGUGAGUAACACGUGGAUAACCUACCUAUAAGACUGGGAUAACUUCGGGAAACCGGAGCUAAUACCGGAUAACAUAUUGAACCGCAUGGUUCAAUAGUGAAAGGCGGCUUUGCUGUCACUUAUAGAUGGAUCCGCGCCGUAUUAGCUAGUUGGUAAGGUAACGGCUUACCAAGGCAACGAUACGUAGCCGACCUGAGAGGGUGAUCGGCCACACUGGAACUGAGACACGGUCCAGACUCCUACGGGAGGCAGCAGUAGGGAAUCUUCCGCAAUGGGCGAAAGCCUGACGGAGCAACGCCGCGUGAGUGAUGAAGGUCUUCGGAUCGUAAAACUCUGUUAUCAGGGAAGAACAAAUGUGUAAGUAACUGUGCACAUCUUGACGGUACCUGAUCAGAAAGCCACGGCUAACUACGUGCCAGCAGCCGCGGUAAUACGUAGGUGGCAAGCGUUAUCCGGAAUUAUUGGGCGUAAAGCGCGCGUAGGCGGUUUUUUAAGUCUGAUGUGAAAGCCCACGGCUCAACCGUGGAGGGUCAUUGGAAACUGGAAAACUUGAGUGCAGAAGAGGAAAGUGGAAUUCCAUGUGUAGCGGUGAAAUGCGCAGAGAUAUGGAGGAACACCAGUGGCGAAGGCGACUUUCUGGUCUGUAACUGACGCUGAUGUGCGAAAGCGUGGGGAUCAAACAGGAUUAGAUACCCUGGUAGUCCACGCCGUAAACGAUGAGUGCUAAGUGUUAGGGGGUUUCCGCCCCUUAGUGCUGCAGCUAACGCAUUAAGCACUCCGCCUGGGGAGUACGACCGCAAGGUGGAAACUCAAAGGAAUUGACGG
RNAcentral lists this ribosomal RNA (927 nucleotides) under Staphylococcus sp. DTQ-LP29.2. RNAcentral describes it as "bacterial SSU rRNA". It matches the Rfam family "Bacterial small subunit ribosomal RNA", at positions 8 to 916 of the family's 1533-position model. Lineage: Bacteria; Bacillati; Bacillota; Bacilli; Caryophanales; Staphylococcaceae. The record is from RNAcentral.